RNAcentral lists this ribosomal RNA (162 nucleotides) under uncultured bacterium. RNAcentral describes it as "partial 16S ribosomal RNA". It matches the Rfam family "Bacterial small subunit ribosomal RNA", at positions 305 to 504 of the family's 1533-position model. The record is from RNAcentral.
CCGCGGUAAAACCGGUUACUCCUACGGGAGGCAGCAGUGGGGAAUAUUGCACAAUGGGCGAAAGCCUGAUGCAGCGACGCCGCGUGAGCGAAGAAGGCCUUCGGGUCGUAAAGCUCUGUCCUAUGGGAAGCGGUACCAUAGGAGGAAGCCCCGGCUAACUAC